UUUGCAUCCGCUCCUACUUGAGAGAUGAGUUUUUCAACUUCCUUUUCCGAUUCUCCUUCUCUUCAGUCGGAUUCUCCUUCUUCUUCAGUCGGAUUUGUAUGUUCUGCUGAGUUGCUUCUCUCUAUCCGUCACUCUUUCAAAGUGUGAAUUUUUUGUUGGUCUGAAAAAGGUAAUAUGGAGGAUUUGCUGCACCCCUUACAUACUACGCUUGGCUGGAGUAUCAAUUUUUGUAAUCUUAACAGGAGAUAUAACAAUUAAUUCGAUGCAAGAAGAGAGGCCAUUAGGAUUCAAACUCUACAUGUAGUAGUGCUACUCGAGCAGUCAAGACCUCCUAAAGAUAGAUCUGAAAUCAUCUCCUUAGAUACUAUACAAUCAUUCUUUAUGGGAUUGUUAAUAAAUUAGUUAUUUCAUGUAAUUAGUCAUUCCUCUUUGUUAUGAAAAUUUUCUUUGUUAUGAAAAUUUUAAUAUGUCUAGCAACUCUUGGGAAAAUAUUUAACGAAUGAUUUCCACGAAGAACCUAUGUUUUAUGGAUGUUCUUUCAAAGAUGCUAACUCAUAAAAUGCACCCUUUUCACAUUGUGAAGUUUGACGUUGGGCCCGUGCGUUGCUAGUAUGACAAAAUAUAGGAGUUGAAUAGAUGACCUUUUAGGUUUAUAAUGAGUGUUGUUUUUCUUUGACAUGUAAUGAAAUCUCAAUUGGAUAAUAUAGUAGUGUGUGUAUAUAUAUAUAUACACUUAUUGUCAUGGUGAGUUUGAUAACAAUUUGAUAUCUUUUCCCAUCCAAUAUUUUGUAGAUACUGAUUUUGUUAAUUUACUUUCAUACAUAGAAGCUUGAAUAGAUGAUAAUUCUUUUGGUGCUAUUGUUAUGACGGAGAUCUUAGUGAUAUUCUUUUUCCUGAUAUUUUGUAGAAACUGAAUUCCGUCAUUUUAUGGAUCAGGC
Lycium barbarum (goji berry) is the source of this 938-nucleotide long non-coding RNA. RefSeq lists it as uncharacterized. The record is from RefSeq and is a predicted model, not a curated record. The transcript is spliced from 4 exons. NCBI's taxonomy places the organism in Eukaryota, Viridiplantae, Streptophyta, Magnoliopsida, Solanales, Solanaceae.